RNAcentral lists this long non-coding RNA (393 nucleotides) under Capsella rubella. RNAcentral describes it as "long non-coding RNA (CRUB_LNC002259)". Lineage: Eukaryota; Viridiplantae; Streptophyta; Magnoliopsida; Brassicales; Brassicaceae. The record is from RNAcentral.
AAAAUGAAGAUUCGGAUAAUUUAUGCGCAGAAAAAAAUCCUAAAAAUAAAAGAAAAAAAAACUAAUGUUUGAUUGAGUAGUUCUAUAAGUAGUAAUCAAGAGCAACGACAGAAACACAAGACAUGUAAGUAAAUUAUAGAAUGGGGUUAGAUUUAAGGAGACUGAAAAAAGAUAUGAGAGAUGAGAGUGAAGUGUGGAGUGGGUCAAUUAUUUUUUUUUUUGAAGACAGAGAUACUAACAAACUGAGAUCUGAAAGUUACCAGACGAAAGAAAAGAAAAGAGCUUUUUUAGAGAGACUUUGCCUCCUCUUCUCAGACCUCUCUCAUCACUCCCACUUAGUCUAGUCCCAAGGACUGUCCUUUACUGUUCACACUUAUUUUUAUUUAUUUCUUA